Molecule: ribosomal RNA, 787 nt
Filed under: human gut metagenome
Description: bacterial SSU rRNA
Rfam family: Bacterial small subunit ribosomal RNA
Source: RNAcentral
AGGGUUCGAUUCUGGCUCAGGAUGAACGCUGGCGGCGUGCUUAACACAUGCAAGUCGAACGGGAUCCAUCAGGCUUUGCUUGGUGGUGAGAGUGGCGAACGGGUGAGUAAUGCGUGACCGACCUGCCCCAUGCACCGGAAUAGCUCCUGGAAACGGGUGGUAAUGCCGGAUGCUCCAUCACAUCGCAUGGUGUGUUGGGAAAGCCUUUGCGGCAUGGGAUGGGGUCGCGUCCUAUCAGCUUGAUGGCGGGGUAACGGCCCACCAUGGCUUCGACGGGUAGCCGGCCUGAGAGGGCGACCGGCCACAUUGGGACUGAGAUACGGCCCAGACUCCUACGGGAGGCAGCAGUGGGGAAUAUUGCACAAUGGGCGCAAGCCUGAUGCAGCGACGCCGCGUGAGGGAUGGAGGCCUUCGGGUUGUAAACCUCUUUUGUUAGGGAGCAAGGCACUUUGUGUUGAGUGUACCUUUCGAAUAAGCACCGGCUAACUACGUGCCAGCAGCCGCGGUAAUACGUAGGGUGCAAGCGUUAUCCGGAAUUAUUGGGCGUAAAGGGCUCGUAGGCGGUUCGUCGCGUCCGGUGUGAAAGUCCAUCGCUUAACGGUGGAUCCGCGCCGGGUACGGGCGGGCUUGAGUGCGGUAGGGGAGACUGGAAUUCCCGGUGUAACGGUGGAAUGUGUAGAUAUCGGGAAGAACACCAAUGGCGAAGGCAGGUCUCUGGGCCGUUACUGACGCUGAGGAGCGAAAGCGUGGGGAGCGAACAGGAUUAGAUACCCUGGUAGUCCACGCC